RNAcentral lists this ribosomal RNA (253 nucleotides) under uncultured bacterium. RNAcentral describes it as "partial 16S ribosomal RNA". It matches the Rfam family "Bacterial small subunit ribosomal RNA", at positions 524 to 776 of the family's 1533-position model. The record is from RNAcentral.
UACGGAGGGUGCAAACGUUGCUCGGAAUCAUUGGGCGUAAAGCGCACGUAGGCGGUCCGUUAUGUCGGGUGUGAAAGCCCUCGGCUUAACCGAGGAAGUGCAUUCGAAACUGGCGGACUUGAGUACCGGAGAGGGUCGCGGAAUUCCCGGUGUAGAGGUGAAAUUCGUAGAUAUCGGGAGGAACACCAGUGGCGAAGGCGGCGACCUGGGCAGAUACUGACGCUGAGGUGCGAAAGCGUGGGGAGCAAACAGG